RNAcentral lists this transfer RNA (56 nucleotides) under Neosciadium glochidiatum. Its description in RNAcentral is "partial tRNA-His". RNAcentral also lists the same sequence under 9 other names. The record is from RNAcentral. Lineage: Eukaryota; Viridiplantae; Streptophyta; Magnoliopsida; Apiales; Araliaceae.
UCGCGCAUGGGGUGGAUUCACAAUCCACUGCCUUAAUCCACUUGGCUACAUCCGCC